RNAcentral lists this ribosomal RNA (310 nucleotides) under Proteus mirabilis. RNAcentral's name for it is "partial 23S ribosomal RNA". It matches the Rfam family "Bacterial large subunit ribosomal RNA", at positions 505 to 641 of the family's 2925-position model. The record is from RNAcentral. Lineage: Bacteria; Pseudomonadati; Pseudomonadota; Gammaproteobacteria; Enterobacterales; Morganellaceae.
GAGGGAAAGGCGAAAAGAACCCCGGCGAGGGGAGUGAAAAAGAACCUGAAACCGUGUACGUACAAGCAGUAGGAGCCCCAUCACUCAAGUGCCUCGCACUGAGUGAUGCAAGAACAUCACCGAAAAUAGCGCCGAAUUUGCUAACAAGGUUGGUCGAUUUUUUCAAGCCGUCGCGCAGUGUACCUAGAAGUACACGAGCAACGGAAGUUAAAAAAUCGGGCAAGAUUGAACGCAAAGGCAAGCGGGACAUUUGAGGAUGGGGUGACUGCGUACCUUUUGUAUAAUGGGUCAGCGACUUAUAUUCUGUAGC